GAGGAAGAAGAAAUAUUAAAUUCGAGUUGCGUACGAGGCACCCAGGGGGCCGGGAGGUGUGGCUGAGUGGCGGGCUCCGGGGCAGAGCGCUCGGGCGGGUCUGCGGUGGCAUUUCUGGAGGCCCCAGGCCUGCAGCCCAGCGGGAGGAAGCGGCCUGCAGACACAGCCGGCCCAGCGGACCCUGCAGAAGCCGCGGCCCAGCCCAGAGGAAGUGAGCCGCCCGGCCUCUGCCUCCUGGGGCCCUGCAGCCCCCUGCUGAUCUGGGGAACCUGGAACCUGCCUCUGUGAGGAGCCCGGGCACCGUUUCAGCUCCGUGACCCUGGUUUCCUUGUGUGGAGGAAGCAGCCAGGACCGGCAAGGAGAAUGGAAGAUGACCCCCUCUACCUCCUGCUGCAGUUCCCUAAGGGGGCGGGCCCUCCGGCAGAGCAGGAAGAACUCCUGCAAGGAGAAAAGAAGAAAUUCCUGCCCCCCACGUCCCGGGAGGACCCCAAAUUUGAAGAAUUGCAAAAGGCGCUGAUGGAGUGGGUCAACGCCGAGCUCCUGCCAGAGCACAUUGUGGUUCGGAGCCUGGAGGAGGACAUGUUUGAUGGGCUCAUCCUGCACCACCUUUUCCAGAAGCUGGCGGGGAUCAAACUGGACGUGGAGGAGAUCGCCUUGACUGCCGUGAGCCAGAGGCGCAAGCUGGAGGCCGUCCUGGAGGCCACCAACCUCAGCCUGCAGGGGGACGACAAGCAGCCGGUCAAGUGGAGCGUGGACGCCAUCUUCAACAAGGACCUGCUGGCCACCCUGCAUCUCCUCGUGGCUCUGGCCAAGCGCUUCCAGCCCAGCCUGCCCCUCCCCACCAAUGUCCAGGUGGAGGUGAUCACCCUGGAGAGCACCAAGAGCGGCCUGAAGUCAGAGAAGUCCGUGGAGCAGCUCACCGAGUGCAGCACAGACAAGGACCAGCCUUCAAAAGACGUCUUUGAUGAGUUAUUCAGGCUGGCCCCGGGGAAAGUGAAGGCCGUGAAAGAGGCCAUCACCACCUUCAUCAACCAGAAGCUGGAGGGCCUGGGCCUGUCUGUGCAGGACCUGGACACACAGUUGGCAGAUGGAGUCAUCUUACUCCUGCUGAUUGGACACCUGGAAGGCUUCUUCCUGCACUUGAAGGAAUUCUACCUCACGCCCAGCUCCCCUGCGGAAAUGCGAGGGACAAGUGUCCCCAUGCAGCCUACUGGCCGAAACCACAGUUUUGGAACGAGCUGCUGAAGACGAGCCACGGUAAACGUGGGGGGAAGAAGCAGCCCCUUAGCUCCGACCCCAGGUGUGGACGUGGUUGGCGGGUAUUGGAAACCUCAGCUGCAGGGACAUGGGACAGAAGUGCUGAGCUCGUCAGACGUCGAAGGGGCGGGACACCGAGGAACUGUCACCCUGGCAGAGCGGCCUGGGGAAGUCGGGCUGGUCCUGCUCAGGCCUUCCUUGCUGACAGUGUUCGCGAGAGACGGCUGUUCGGUGCGGCGGUGGGAGACCGAUUGUCUGCGCUGCAGACAUCACAGCACAGAGCCAGGAGACGUUCGCUUCCACCCACGUUCAGUUAUGUGUCUGCUGAGGACGAGCGCCUCCCCCACCCCGCCCCCAUCGUGACCUCCCCUCAGCUCAGCGGAGCUCAGCAUUUUUACCUUGGUCAUCUCCCACGGUGCGAGGAGGGAAAGUGAUGCUUUGGGCAGAGUGUGGUGAGAUGCUUCUGGGGCCCAGAGCCCGGGGCAGCUCCGCCUGCUUCAGGCUGCGCACCGUUGGAGUGACAGACCGAGUGACAGACAGCACUGCGUGUGGCCCUUCUGGGGUGGCGCUAACACUGAUGCUGGGACCACCAGCUUCGGGGCAGGAGCAGGUCGGCUGUGCCCAAGGCAAGGCCAGUGCAGAGUCGACGCUCUACCCGCACUUUGGAAAUAAGUGAGGGAACCAAGUGUCUCCCAGACAGAGGUCUCCUGAGGGGCCGUGACAGAUGGACACAAUGGUGAAACAAGUCAGGAGAGAACACGCAUCGUCUUGAAGGUUCCUGAUCCACCGUAACGUGUCCGAGGCUCUGGGAAGGCCCGAGGAGGGUACUUCACGCUGCUCUGCUCACACCAGCGUCCCCCCGACAGUCCAGGCACAGACGCUUGCCCGGCUCCUGCCGGCAGAGGCAGGGCUGUGAGGCCGGAGAGCUCGGUGGCUCCUUCUGGCUCCGACCACCUGACUUCCGUGCGUUCUGUGAAGAGGGUUUGUGAGGAUGUGGACAAGAGCACUGCAACCCUCAUUUUCCAGAAUCUUCCCAUCUGGGGAGAAGACUCGGGGACACAGAUACAGCAUGGGGUGGGAGUGCAGCUCGGAUCUGUUCACUCGGAGAUGCCCUUCCUCCCCAGAGGUGUGGCCACCCCUGCUUGGGACCCUGUGGUAGCUUUUGUUUCUUCUCCUUGACCGACUAUAAAGGGGACAGCCCUGCGGGGCCAGGCCCCUGCCCCCCCCCCCCGCACCCUCUUCCAUCCUGGACCAACCCCGGCUCAGCUGCUCUGUCCAUCUGAUGCUCCAACACCAACUGUCCCCAGUGGAGAAGGACCUGCUCACCGUACCUUCCAGAUCCCAAGGAAGGGCCCCCUCCUGGCACCGUGAAGCCCUGCCCUGAGCCAGCUGCCAGGAGGACACCAGCCCUGUGCCCCAGGACACAGCGGGAGCCCUGGGGGCGGGAAGAAGACACUCCCUGGACUCUGCCCGGUGCCCCCGGCCCGGGACUGUGAGCCACGCCCUCAUCUCCCUGGGGUUUGUCUUUUCCCAGCAGCUUUGAGUGCUCCUGCCCAUCCCACCCCCGGCCCCUGAAGGAGCCCCCACCCAGGGAUGUGCGGGGCAGCCUUAGUCCAGGCGAGGCCCCCGCUGUGCCUUCCUCUCCCCACCUUCAGAUCCUGUGCUGUGCCUUCCAGUCCUUCUGUUGAAGACCCAGCUGGCAGCCCUGGAGCGGCAGGCCGCCAGCUCCAGGCUGGGUCCACAGACCCAGCUGGAAGGUGCACAACGUCACCCUGGCCCUGGAGCUGCUGAAGAGCGAAGGCCUGCUCGACUGCCCUGUCAGUGCCGAAGCCAUCGUCAACAAGGA
Artibeus jamaicensis (Jamaican fruit-eating bat) is the source of this 3103-nucleotide RNA transcript. It is a transcript of the gene named parvin gamma, with no coding region annotated. The record is from RefSeq and is a predicted model, not a curated record. The transcript is spliced from 14 exons. Lineage: Eukaryota; Metazoa; Chordata; Mammalia; Chiroptera; Phyllostomidae.